RNAcentral lists this ribosomal RNA (124 nucleotides) under Marinobacter salarius. RNAcentral's name for it is "16S rRNA. Bacterial SSU". It matches the Rfam family "Bacterial small subunit ribosomal RNA", at positions 1 to 117 of the family's 1533-position model. Lineage: Bacteria; Pseudomonadati; Pseudomonadota; Gammaproteobacteria; Pseudomonadales; Marinobacteraceae. The record is from RNAcentral.
UUAAACUGAAGAGUUUGAUCAUGGCUCAGAUUGAACGCUGGCGGCAGGCUUAACACAUGCAAGUCGAGCGGUAACAGGGGGAGCUUGCUCCCCGCUGACGAGCGGCGGACGGGUGAGUAAUGCA